RNAcentral lists this ribosomal RNA (253 nucleotides) under uncultured bacterium. RNAcentral's name for it is "partial 16S ribosomal RNA". It matches the Rfam family "Bacterial small subunit ribosomal RNA", at positions 524 to 776 of the family's 1533-position model. The record is from RNAcentral.
UACGUAGGGGGGGAGCGUUGACCGGAAUUAUUGGGCGUAAAGAGCGUGUAGGCGGUUCGGUAAGUCUACUGUGAAAUCCUGGGGCUCAACCCUGGGCGUGCAGCGGUUACUGCCGGGCUAGAGGAUGGUAGAGGCGAGUGGAAUUCCGAGUGUAGCGGUGAAAUGCGCAGAUAUUCGGAGGAACACCAGUAGCGAAGGCGGCUCGCUGGGCCAUCCCUGACGCUGAGACGCGAAAGCGUGGGGAGCGAACAGG